AUAAACUGGAGAUCUUGUUAAAAUGCAGAUUUUGAUUCAGGGGUGAAGCCUGAAUUUCUGAAUGUCUAACAAGCUCACCAGUCAUGUUAAUGCUUCU
RNAcentral lists this microRNA precursor (97 nucleotides) under Otolemur garnettii (small-eared galago). RNAcentral's name for it is "miRNA (ENSOGAG00000032282.1)". The record is from RNAcentral. Lineage: Eukaryota; Metazoa; Chordata; Mammalia; Primates; Galagidae.